GUGCCAGCAGCAGCGGUAAUACGUAGGUGGCAAGCGUUGUCCGGAUUUAUUGGGCGUAAAGGGAACGCAGGCGGUCUUUUAAGUCUGAUGUGAAAGCCUUCGGCUUAACCGAAGUCGUGCAUUGGAAACUGGGAGACUUGAGUGCAGAAGAGGAGAGUGGAACUCCAUGUGUAGCGGUGAAAUGCGUAGAUAUAUGGAAGAACACCAGUGGCGAAAGCGGCUCUCUGGUCUGUAACUGACGCGUGAGUUCGAAAGCGUGGUAGCAAACAGGAUUAGAUACCCUGGUAGUCCACGCUGUAAACGAUGAAUGACUAAGUGUUGG
RNAcentral lists this ribosomal RNA (322 nucleotides) under uncultured Lactobacillus sp. RNAcentral describes it as "bacterial SSU rRNA". It matches the Rfam family "Bacterial small subunit ribosomal RNA", at positions 505 to 826 of the family's 1533-position model. Lineage: Bacteria; Bacillati; Bacillota; Bacilli; Lactobacillales; Lactobacillaceae. The record is from RNAcentral.